AGGGCACCACCAGGAGUGGAGCCUGCGGCUUAAUUUGACUCAACACGGGGAAACUCACCAGGUCCAGACACAAUAAGGAUUGACAGAUUGAGAGCUCUUUCUUGAUUUUGUGGGUGGUGGUGCAUGGCCGUUCUUAGUUGGUGGAGUGAUUUGUCUGCUUAAUUGCGAUAACGAACGAGACCUUAACCUACUAAAUAGUGCGAUUAGCUUUUGCUGAUUUUGACACUUCUUAGAGGGACUAUCGAUUUCAAGUCGAUGGAAGUUUGAGGCA
This 271-nucleotide ribosomal RNA is filed under the name uncultured eukaryote. RNAcentral describes it as "partial small subunit ribosomal RNA". It matches the Rfam family "Eukaryotic small subunit ribosomal RNA", at positions 1161 to 1452 of the family's 1831-position model. The record is from RNAcentral.